This 120-nucleotide ribosomal RNA is filed under the name uncultured bacterium. RNAcentral describes it as "partial 16S ribosomal RNA". It matches the Rfam family "Bacterial small subunit ribosomal RNA", at positions 215 to 334 of the family's 1533-position model. The record is from RNAcentral.
UCGCCUUUGGAGGGGCCCGCGUCGGAUUAGGUAGUUGGUGGGGUAACGGCCUACCAAGCCGACGAUCCGUAGCUGGUCUGAGAGGAUGAUCAGCCACACUGGGACUGAGACACGGCCCAG